GACGAACGCUGGCGGCGUGCUUAACACAUGCAAGUCGAACGCGCCUGUCCUCUGGGUUUCUGGGGGGUGGGUGAGUGGCGCACGGGUGAGUAACACGUGAGUAACCUGCCCCCUUCUUCGGGAUAACGGUCUGAAAGGGCUGCUAAUACCGGGUAUUCACUGGUCUCCGCAUGGGGUCUGGUGGAAAGGUUUUUUUCUGGUGGGGGAUGGGCUCGCGGCCUAUCAGCUUGUUGGUGGGGUGAUGGCCCACCAAGGCUUUGACGGGUAGCCGGCCUGAGAGGGUGACCGGUCACAUUGGGACUGAGAUACGGCCCAGACUCCUACGGGAGGCAGCAGUGGGGAAUAUUGCACAAUGGGCGCAAGCCUGAUGCAGCGACGCCGCGUGAGGGAUGGAGGCCUUCGGGUUGUGAACCUCUUUCGCCCGUGGUCAAGCCGCGACGUGGGUCGUGGUGAGGGUAGUGGGUAAAGAAGCGCCGGCUAACUACGUG
Molecule: ribosomal RNA, 488 nt
Filed under: uncultured bacterium
Lineage: Bacteria
Description: partial 16S ribosomal RNA
Rfam family: Bacterial small subunit ribosomal RNA
Source: RNAcentral